GGAUCAUUACAGAGUUCUAAAAGACUCCCAAAACCAUUGUGAACGUACCCGUCAGCGUUGCCUCGGCGGGCGGCCCCUCCCUGGGGCCGCUGCCUCCCUCGGGGGGUGCCCGCCGGCGUACCAAAACUCUUUUUGUAUUUUAGUGGCCUCUCUGAGAAAACAAGCAAAUAAGUUAAAACUUUCAACAACGGAUCUCUUGGUUCUGGCAUCGAUGAAGAACGCAGCGAAAUGCGAUAAGUAAUGUGAAUUGCAGAAUUCAGUGAAUCAUCGAAUCUUUGAACGCACAUUGCGCCCGCCAGUACUCUGGCGGGCAUGCCUGUUCGAGCGUCAUUUCAACCCUCAAGCCCUGCUUGGUGUUGGGGUCCUACGGCUGCCGUAGGCCCUGAAAGCUAGUGGCGGGCUCGCUAUAACUCCGAGCGUAGUAGUAAAAUAUCUCGCUAGGGAGGUGUCGCGGGUUCCGGCCGUGAAAGCCCAUCUUUUACACAAGGUUGACCUCGGAUCAGGUAGGAAUACCCGCUGAACUUAAGCAUAUCAAUAAGCGGAGGAAAAGAAACCAACAGGGAUUGCCCCAGUAACGGCGAGUGAAGCGGCAACAGCUCAAAUUUGAAAUCUGGCUUCGGCCCGAGUUGUAAUUUGUAGAGGAUGCUUUUGGUGAGGUGCCUUCUGAGUUCCCUGGAACGGGACGCCAGAGAGGGUGAGAGCCCCGUAUAGUUGGACACCGAGCCUCUGUAAAGCUCCUUCGACGAGUCGAGUAGUUUGGGAAUGCUGCUCAAAAUGGGAGGUAUAUCUCUUCUAAAGCUAAAUACUGGCCAGAGACCGAUAGCGCACAAGUAGAGUGAUCGAAAGAUGAAAAGCACUUUGAAAAGAGGGUUAAAUAGUACGUGAAAUUGUUGAAAGGGAAGCGCUUGUGACCAGACUUGUGCCCGGCUGAUCAUCCAGUGUUCUCACUGGUGCACUCUGCCGGGCUCAGGCCAGCGUCGGUUCUCGCAGGGGGACAAAAGCUUCGGGAACGUAGCUCCUCCGGGAGUGUUAUAGCCCGUUGCUCAAUACCCCUGCGGGGACCGAGGU
Molecule: ribosomal RNA, 1068 nt
Filed under: Sordariomycetes sp. genotype 8
Lineage: Eukaryota; Fungi; Ascomycota; Sordariomycetes
Description: eukaryotic LSU rRNA
Rfam family: Eukaryotic large subunit ribosomal RNA (bases 490-1068)
Source: RNAcentral